GUGCUCGCGGUGCUGAGGAACAGCUGUACUUGCUCAAGUGUGAUGGCAAGUGUGUCAAGUAAAUAGA
Caenorhabditis elegans is the source of this 67-nucleotide non-coding RNA. The record is from Ensembl. Lineage: Eukaryota; Metazoa; Nematoda; Chromadorea; Rhabditida; Rhabditidae.